AGCGAACGCUGGCGGCAGGCCUAACACAUGCAAGUCGAACGAACUCUUCGGAGUUAGUGGCGGACGGGUGAGUAACACGUGGGAACGUGCCUUUUGGUUCGGAAUAACUCAGGGAAACUUGUGCUAAUACCGAAUGUGCCCUUCGGGGGAAUGAUUUAUCGCCAUUAGAGCGGCCCGCGUCUGAUUAGCUAGUUGGUGAGGUAACGGCUCACCAAGGCGACGAUCAGUAGCUGGUCUGAGAGGAUGACCAGCCACACUGGGACUGAGACACGGCCCAGACUCCUACGGGAGGCAGCAGUGGGGAAUCUUGCGCAAUGGGCGAAAGCCUGACGCAGCCAUGCCGCGUGAAUGAUGAAGGUCUUAGGAUUGUAAAAUUCUUUCACCGGGGACGAUAAUGACGGUACCCGGAGAAGAAGCCCCGGCUAACUUCGUG
Molecule: ribosomal RNA, 433 nt
Filed under: uncultured bacterium
Lineage: Bacteria
Description: partial 16S ribosomal RNA
Rfam family: Bacterial small subunit ribosomal RNA
Source: RNAcentral